RNAcentral lists this long non-coding RNA (4271 nucleotides) under Musa acuminata (dwarf banana). RNAcentral's name for it is "long non-coding RNA (MACU_LNC008672)". The record is from RNAcentral. Lineage: Eukaryota; Viridiplantae; Streptophyta; Magnoliopsida; Zingiberales; Musaceae.
GAAGUUUAUGAAUUAAUAAUAUCGUCAAACAAAGGAAGAUUAUCCUUCAAAUCAAAUCAAAAAUAUUUUCUUCUUCGAAGAAAGGAACAGAUCAUAUAUUUGAUUUGAUGUGAUUGUAAUUUAGUAAUUUUCUUUUUAUUCUUGUGCUUGAGCCUAUAAAAAGGGGUUAGAACAUUGUAAUGCAUCAAUGAGAGAUGAAUUAAUGAAUCGUGUUAUUUUCUCACCUUGUGUGUAAGUAGUGUGAGGCCACAAUUAUGUUUCUAAUGGUAAAAUUCAAUCAUCCACAUGUGAGACGCGGAGGUGCGAGGCUCUCAUCAUGAGAGUUCGCUCCUUGAGCCAAAAGCGAGUCUAGUAGUUAUCUCUUUAUGUUUUUCAAUUAUCUUUCAGUUCUUAUCUCUUUUUUUCUCUCUUUUUAUCUCUCUAUCAUCAAAAAAAAUCCAUUGCUACUCGUCCUACAUCACAAGCAACCUAAAAGAUCCAACAGACAACAAAGGAAAAGAAGCAUGAAGUACAAGAUCCUCGACAUGAUCAGCACCGCAAUGCUACAAAGAAAAGAUGAUGCAUCUCAAUAAAAACUGAUUCAAAUUUCAGUUAAAUUGGUUAUGUUGACUCAAUUUUUUUUUAUAUAUUCUUAAAGGAUUUAAAGUAUUCCAUGAGCAGAUUAUGGGUGGUGGUCCCUAUGUCAAAAUGCUAAUCUUAGUAUCAUUACUUCAGCAUUCUCCUUUAGUUAAAAAUUGGAAAUAUACAACUUAAAUCUUAGCUCGAGGGAGUUCCAGUUGUGUUUAAAUUGGAAAGACAAGGUUUAAGUCCUCCACCAGUCUUAGGAGGGACUAAACUCUUCCAUUUAGUAUGAGUGAAGCAUUACAUACUGAAAUAUUACUGACAUAAUGGACUAUUAACAGAGUCGGUUCUUUAUGAUUGACACCUUAUUUUUACCUUCCUCUCUCUUUCUUUAUGCUUGAUUCAUGUUUGUAGCAUACUUGCUUUUCAUGGCUUCAAUCAAGGAUAGUGAUGAGGUGUGGAGCCGCCUAGCUCUCCACUGCCCACUGUGAAUUUACAAGCCCUCUUCUCCAUCUCAACACGGGGAACCCAUUGUGGUCCACCACAGCACAUCGCCAACCUCUUUUCAGGUAUGCUUCCUCCUCCACCGCCUCCUUUCUUCCUCCUUACUCCUGUUUGUCUUCCUCCAUCACUUCCUCUUCCUCCUCUUCUUCCACCGCUUCCUCUUCUCAUUCUUCCUCUUUAGUACCUACUGUUCACACUGGCAUCAGCACUAAAGGUAUGUAUCGGUCCAGCUGGGACCAGUACAAUGUCUGGUAUGAGCUUGCAAUNNNNNNNNNNNNNNNNNNNNGUUCACACUGGCAUCAGCACUAAAGGUAUGUAUCGGUCCAGCUGGGACCAGUACAAUGUCUGGUAUGAGCUUGCAAUCCUUGGGUUCAAUCCCCUUGUUUUUUACAAGCCCACUGUGACUUUACAAGCCCUCUUCUCCAUCUCGACACGGGGAACCCAUUGUGGUCCACCACAGCACAUCGCCAACCUCUUUUCAGGUAUGCUUCCUCCUCCACCACCUCCUUCUUUCGUCCUCCUUACUCCUGUUCGUCUUCCUCCAUCACUUCCUCUUCCUCCUCUUCUUCCACCGCUUCCUCUUCUCAUUCUUCCUCUUUAGUACCUACUGUUUACACUGGCAUCAGCACUAAUGGUAUGUAUCAGUCCAGCUGCGACCAGUACAAUGUCUGGUAUGAGCUUGCAUUCUUUGGUUUCAAUCCCCUUGUUUUUUACUCAUUUGCUACAUUUAUCCUAUGAUAGAUCCACAAAUCAAAUUAUGGCACUGUCCAAUUGAUCCAAACAAUGACCACUGAGCUUUUGACCCUCUUUAACAGCAAUUAAAACAUGUGGUGACAAUCCUGCAAAUUUACCUCAAAAACAGAAAGAAUACCAAGAGAAAGUAAACCGGAAUAAUUAUAACUUCAAAGGACUAAGAUAAUUGAUUACCUACACAAUCAUAACAAUUCUUCCGUAUGGCUGACACAACCAAUCAAAUCUUAUUCUAAUAACAAUUCAUCCAAAAGAUUAACAACAUAUCCAGUCUUAAUCUUAUAGAUUUACUUGACAAUCAUCACAAUUCAUCUAAAAGGCUGACAGUCAAUCCAAUUAGAUUAGGCCAAUAUCCUAUCGAGGGAUCAAAGCAUCACUUUUCUUGGAAUGAGAAGACCAAUUGUAGCCAUAAUGAACAAGAAAUGUCCCUAGUAAUAUCCCUCAAAUUGUAAAAAUAUAUGUACCAGGCACCAAUGUAGCUUCCGUUACUAGACUAUGAAGUGUGACUUGAAGAUACUAUUUCUAUAAGCAGUAGAAAAAAAUGUUGCAACUUCAGAUAAGAACUCACCUCAACCAGCCUGAAAAUAUCCACAAACUAAAACAGAUUUAAAUUGGUCUACAAGAUCUCAUAUUUCCUGAUUCUGUACAUGAAAAUUUUGGAGAAACUUAAGUUCCAUACUUUGGUGCUACUGCCCAAGUAACAGAUUGAUAAUUUGGGGAAGCAAUGAAAAACCUUAGAAGCAAUUUCUAGUUUCAUCUAUGCAUAAGACAAAUGUCAAAGAGCCUUCUAUACUGUAAACAUGAACAGCACCCCCUAUAACAAUUACUAGCUUAUGCAAUUAGGAAAGAAUCCUUAACUGGUAGUACAGCAGCACUCAGCUAUAUGGUAACAAACUAUUUUUCCUUUUAGGUUUCACAUUCAAAUCUUAGAGGAUGAGUGGUAAGGUUGCUAGUUUGCGAUCUAGGAAAUUGCUCCUUUGCGAUCUAGGAGCCAAGGAUACAAGUCACAAAAAAAUUCUCUAAAUAUAGAGGUAAGGUAAGGCUAAGUAUAUUGACCCUCACCAGAUCCCAUAGAGUUCCUUGUGCACCGGGUUUGCCCAUAGUUCAAAUAUUAUCAGAACUAAAGUCAAUCAAAACAAUAGCAAAGAUUCUUUUGGUAAAAUAAGCCAGACACUAGUAUCAAUAAAUAUUGAAUUACCAAGCCUAAUGGUUCCUUUUCUUUUUGGAACAACCAUGAAAUAAAGAAAACAAUUGAGGCUAUCAAAUUAAUAGGUAACAGCAACUCUGACUUGAACUAUAGGACAACAUGAUGUUGUUCUGCAGAAUGUGCUUGCAAAGAGAAUUCCAAAAAAUUGAGAACUAAUAUCACACAUCAAGAAGAGAAAUUCUUUGUAGUAUAAGUUAAAUCAAACUGAGGUUUUUAAAUUUGGGUGUUGGACCCAUGCUGGUCCUAGCCCAGACCGGUAUGGGUCCAACAAUUCCGGCAUAUCAUGUACAUACAAACUGAGUUCCAAGAAAACAUGAAAAAGGCUGAAAAUAUAAAAAAAUUAGCACCUUGUAUAAGCCAUGUACUGGUACUGAUCAUGUACCUGGCAUACUGCUCGGUUUACCAUGUUCCACGAGUUGAUAAGUUAUCAAAUCAGUAAAGGAACCCUACCAAACGACAUGGUUCUCCCUUUCACCAGGACUGAUGGUGGACACAUACAGGUCUGGCCAGCAACCAAUAAGGGUCUGGUAUGCAAAAUAGCAUUCCUUGCUGGGAGGUGUUGCAAACCUUCCUUCAAAUCACUCGCCAGAUUAUCCUUCUGAUUUGCAUAAUUGAAGCUAAGUUAUGACGUCAAAAGCAUCAACUAUUUUACCAUAGGUUUCAUGCUUUAAAACCAUAAAGACUGUAACCAUGCAACAACCUAUCAGCAAUUAUCCUUAAUAGUUGCAUAUGUCAACUUCUUGGAAGCAAUUUAAGUGUUCCUUGCCAUUCACAUGCCACUUGACCAAAGACAAGAUUGGUACCAAGUGACAAGGCCUAAAAGCUCAGUCUGGUAUUGGACUUGACACCUCUCCAGACAACUAUGUGGUACAGUAUUUUGGGAGGUAGCUAACUAUAUGCUCUAGUACCAGUCUUUGGUCGGAACAACUAAUACCAUUAGCAUGUAUCACCCGACCGGUAUGUGAGACUUUGUCAUGUACCAGCAUCAAGGUAGCAAUAAGAAAUCUCCAGAAACAAAAAGUGUGCAGGUCACCAAGUAUUAUCCAUACACAAUGCAUCAUACAUGAUUAGUUAUGGCAUGCAGCAACAGGAAUGAUAAAGAGGAAAGCAAUACAUGACUUGACAAAAAUUAAGGAGUAGAAAAAGAAGAGGAGAAAGGAUUACUUCUCAUAAGAAUAAAUGAAUAUAUUUUGUUGUAUUUAAUUAUUAUUAUUAUUAUUAUUAUUAUGGCAGCCAAAACAUAAAAAAC